Molecule: small RNA, 93 nt
Filed under: Salmonella enterica subsp. enterica serovar Eboko
Lineage: Bacteria; Pseudomonadati; Pseudomonadota; Gammaproteobacteria; Enterobacterales; Enterobacteriaceae
Description: partial RtT sRNA
Rfam family: RtT RNA
About the family: This family represents a bacterial cis-regulatory element known as RtT RNA. The exact function of RtT is unknown although it is thought that it may be involved in changing the cellular response in relation to amino acid starvation.
Source: RNAcentral
GGUUCGAUUCGAGCGAAAGCGAGAAAGCGUUGCCGCAGGCAACGACCCGAAGGGCGAAGCGCGCAGCGCUGAGUCAUCCUUCCCCCCUCAUCC